Non-coding RNA from Equus caballus (horse), 5408 nucleotides. NCBI's taxonomy places the organism in Eukaryota, Metazoa, Chordata, Mammalia, Perissodactyla, Equidae. The record is from RefSeq and is a predicted model, not a curated record.
UUUGAGGAACCUCCAUACUGUUGUCCAUAGUGGCUGCACCAGUUUGCAUUCCCACCAGCAGUGUAUGAGAGUUCGGGGAAAGGGAUUUUUAUGUAUAAGACCCUAAAGAGAGAUAUGAGAGAGAUGGAGGGAGCCAGUUGGUAGCUACCCCAUGACAAGGUCUGAACUCUAUGGAAAAACGGGCCUGGGCAGAAAGGGUGGGAUCUGGUUUAUGAGGGAUUCAGUACCUUGAUACCCAGCAGUACAAGCUCUUUAAAGGCCUUUAUGGGAAAGUGCAAUGUAGUCGGGGAGUCGGACAUUCUUCCCGCUUCUGCAUGGUUCCACAGGGAAGAUCAAAUGUUUAUAAAGCAAUAAACAGAGUUUGGGUGCUUCCAAGAAUGCCAUUCCAUGUGGCCUGAUUACCCUGUAUAUUUAGAGAGUGAGGAAGUUAUUUUAGGGACGUUAGUAGCUGUCAACAUUAGGGAUUGGCCAGUGGGGGGGUGGGACUGAGUCUGAACCAGCCUCCAGAGACAGCACAGGGGUGGUCCAACCAGGAGGCAAUAGGAAGAAGGCUUGGCAGGGGGUCAGAGUUCAGUAUCCGGCUGGAGAUAGUCUACUACUGGUAGCUAUUCAAUGAAAGAGUGGACAUCGAGUCAUGGGAAUUUGGUACAGGGAUUAUACCAAGAGAGGAAAUAGUAACAUUCCAGGUAAAGAGGAAAGAGCAUACAGAGUAGGAAUCCAAGAUGUAGCUCAGGAAGGCACAGGGAGGAGCCAAAUAGAAUCCAGAAUGGAUGUAAUUAUAAGGUAAUGAGGGCUGAAUCCAGUUACUGGAAAGAACGAGCCUUGAGAGUAACUAGCCGAAGGCUGCAUUUAGUUCCUCUUCCUAGGACAUGUCUGGCAGCUCAGAGGGAGGUGAAGAGGCUGUUUACUAGCUAAACAGGCAGGUGGGUGGCAGGGGCAGCGAGUCAGGCAGGUCUUCACUGUUGAAUUACCAAUAAUCUCCGAGUGUCUGAAUCCACCAACAAGCAAGCAGGGCCCAAAUGGAGAAAGCCUGUUUGCAACAGCCCUUAUAAGAGACUUCUGUUGUUCUUGUCUGUCUAGCACCUCUUCUCCUUCUGCUGCCAACGGAACUACUUUUUAGUGGGGAACCCCCAACUUCCGAGAGUAGUGAGCGUGUGACCUGAGCCCAGUCAAUCAGAGUGCUCCAUUUCCUUGGUUUGAGGAUGGGCGGGAAACCUAGAAAGGCCAAUCAGAUUCUUCCUUGAGAUUUGAUAUUUCAGUGAGUAGUUGGGGGGAGCAGAGCUCUCUCUCAAUCUUGGGAUCACAAGCUGUAAAGACGAUGUAGACUGGAGUUGCUUUGUGUCACCCUUCCUGGAUGCAUGGGGAAAGCCAUCUGCAGUAAGAGAGAAUGAGCCCAAUAUUAAGAGAGAAUCAGAAAUGAAGAGGGAUGAGAGAUAGGGUCCUAAGGACAUUUCUUGGGCACUAAAUCCAGUCACAGCCAUCCCUGCUCUUUUGUGAGCCAAUAAGUUCUCUUUUACUUAAGCCAGUUUCAAGCCAAUUUCACUUGGGGUUCUGUCACUUGCCACGUAAGGAAAUCAGACUAAUAUGUUUGCUUACUUACUGGUUCGUAGCAAUACGUAUCCGUUGCCUCCAUCCACAGCGAGCCUGAAAUUUAUGUUUGGACUGAAAAUACUUGCUCAAGUCUGACCUCCAUUGCUCUUCAUGAGAACACACUGACCACCUGGGCGAGCCUACGGCCAGUGCCGCUGUCUGGCAAAAUCUCGGUGAGAUCAGAUCUGUGUCACUGCCCAGCCCUGCUUUUGACAUCUGCCUGUGCUUAUGAGCUCCCUGCUCCCUCUUUCCCCGUGAUCCUCUCCGACUGUGGAUAAAAUCCUCAGUCCUUUCCACUUUGACUCUUCCUUUUUGCCAGUAAGUUUCAAACCUACAACUCAAAUCCUGACCUUUCUCCUGAAACCAGAUACCUGUUUUUAAUUUCUAUUUCCAGGUUCAAUGAUCAGCUCACACUCAACAAGUCCGAAACAGAACUCAUCAGUCUCCUGGUACUGUUGAUGGCACUACCAUUGUGCCAGUCAUCUGCCCUUGACAAUCUCCACAUUAUUUGGGCUGCCCUUCUUUCCCUCAUCCUCCAUGUACACUGAGUCAUGGAGCAAAAUCCCUUUCCUUCAUAAUGUCUGCGUGUGCCAGAAGCUGCGUGAGCUUCUGAAGGUACAACAAAAAUCAAGAUGUGAUCCCUGACUUGAAGAGCUUGGAUCCUACCAGAGGAACAAUCCAAGGCAGAAAGUGCUGAGUGCCACAUCAGCGGCAGCAGAGAAAGGACUAAGGGAGCCUGGUAGAGACAGCUUCAUGUCUGCUAUUGGGGAUCAGGGAAGAGUCGUGGUAGAACAGCCACAGUGCAUCAUGAGAAAAGAGACCCAGGAGAGCAACUGACUGAAGUGCUCUUGGAAUGACGACUUCAGUUUGCUGGUGCAUUGGGUCAAAGCACCGGGGAAACAUGGUUGAGGUCGGCACUGUGGAUGAGGCAUACAAAAGCCAGUUACAGCUCCAUUCUGUCUUGCUUUCCCAUAUAAUGGAGCUAGAAAACUGAAAUACCUGGUUCCCCAGCUCCUCUUGCAACUAUGCAUGACCAAUUUCUGGCCAGAGAGAGUAAAGAGAGGGCAACCCAGUGAAAGUCAUGGGAAAGUGUUUGAAAAGUGAAUAGGCUGUGCUGGCAUGCCCACCUUGGGCUUCCUCCCUCUCCCUUCUUCUUCCUAGUUAGGAACACACAUGCUUACUUGUGGGUAAAGCAGCCAUCUUGGCAACAUGAGACCUCCCCAAAAUAAGGAUAUGUUUGUAGGAUGACAGAGGAGAAAGAGAGAAAGAUCUUGCUUUCUCAGAUGACAUCAUCUGGCUGCUGUGAAGCCCUAGACUGUUUUCCCCACAUGCCUUAUGCAUGAAAAAAAAAAUCCCUAUUUAAGUAAAAAUCACUGUUAGUCAGAUUUUCUAUAACUUGCAGCUGAAUAAGAUGCUAACCUAUAAAGCCAUAUGUUAGAAAUACUGAGUACUAUUCUAGAUAAAUUGAAGUUUAUUCUAUAAGCAAGGAAGUUGCAGACAGCUCUUCACAUAGAGGUUAGGGGGAUGCUAUUAUCAGAAAAUUCUCUCCUUUUGCUGUUCACUGUCCAUGCCCUUCACGCUCAGUUUAGUGUCCACCUAUUCAUGGCAGCUUCUGUCUCUUGUCUUGGUCACCUUUAUCCUCACUCUCUGCUGGGCUAUUAUCAAGUAUAGCUUACUGACAUGUAUUGUUACUGAUUCUUCAUGAGUUUAUGUUAUGUAUUCCCAAUAGGACUGUAAUAGUGGUCAUGUUUUAUACUUCCUCUCUCUCUGUCUCUCUCGGUGCCCGGGCUGGAGAGAAGAACACAGUGGUUCCAUGCUCAGCAGAUGGGAGGUCGUCUAGCUUCCUAAGCCGGCACAAAGCAAUAAUAUUCCCGGGAAGAGAGACACUUGUUCUGAGGGCUCAAGUCAUCCUCUGGAGUCAUUGGCCAUUUCCUGCAGGCUGGGGAGGUGGUGACAGCCACGCAAAUGGUGGAGAUCAUCUUGAGUUUACCACUGGUCCAAGUCCAUGGAGUUGGGUUACUUGGAUAUGGGCACCCCCAUAUGUCUAACGCCUUCCAAGAUAUUAAGUGUCAUGUAAACGCAGCACUUCCCCUUCUGCCCAUGAGUGUCUGUUGUCACCUGUCAGAAGGCAAUGCCAUAGGCUGUUUAUUUGAUGUGGAGACAAGAUACCACAUCUUCCUGGAGCCUUUCAACUUCUUAUGUCGUGAUCCUGGACAGCAGCGGUGCUGCAAUAUCUGGAACUACCAAAGAACAUUAAUGGAAGAAUGAGGGAUUGUUGGGGACAUGACCUCAUAGGAUGGGUCUUGCACAUUUGGGUACAGCAGAGAUGUUUAAAGAUUUGGGAUCUAGAGGUACAAAUUGUCUUUCCAUGGUCAGAGAAAGGUCCUGGAGCUGGAUAGAACCUGACGGUCUGGUCUUCCCUACCAAAUUCUGCUGUGUGUAUGGGAAUGGCUACCCUUUAUGCUAGAGCCUGCCCCAAGGCUGGGUCAGCUCUACUUUAAAAACCAACUUGAAAUGGUGGAUGCUUGACAGACACUAUUAUCCCCACUCCAACGAUGAGAACACUGAGGUCAAGGAUUUGGCUCAAGGUCAUCCCGCAAGGUCUUGUUGGAGGCAGAAAUAGCAUCUGAGCCUUCACUCCUAAUCCAGCUCUCAUUGCUUGUUGCGGUGUGCCAUGGCUGAAGUUACACGAUGAGGCAUCUAUCUAAACCAGAGAGCCAAGUUCUGGGUUCAUGUUACGUCUUUCUAUUCCUUCACUUGGCCUCCCACUGCUGGCUCAGAGCAGUUCCUUGCUCUGAUCUAUUGGUUUUUUCUUAGGCUGGAGAGAGUUACCACACUUCCUGAUCCUGACCUCCAGUGGAGGAGGGUGGAACCUAACGACAUCAUUUGGAUCAUACUUGACUCCAGCGAUUGCUCCAAACUUGAAGAGCAGCGAGUGGAGUCUUCGUCUUUUAACCCUAUCAAGUGACCUGGUCUUUAAUGCGUGAUUGGCAAUAAUGGAGGAGAUUCAGACAACCAUCCCCUGUCACAGCUUCCUGCUGGAGAGGCAGCAAGAAGCUAGGACUUAAACUCUGAGGGCAGAGUAUCCUGGAUUCACACCCCGACUCUGUUGUUUCCUGGUUGUGUGGCCUUCGGCAAGUCCCUGAACAUCGCGGUAGCUCAAUUUCCUGGUUUGUAAGAUGGGUGAAAAGAAUUCCUUAGGAUGAGGUAAUCUGGGCAAAGUUCCUGUCAUGUAAGAGAUAUUCAGGAAAUAUUGGUUUCUUCACUCCUCCCCACCCCACACACGUGUUGAAUACAGUAACUUUAUUUUCACCACCACCUUACAAGAAACAAUGGCACGCCUAGGUAAGCUGAGUGACUCAAGAGCUAGCAAAAACUAAGUCUUUGGAGUUAGCUACGUUGCAUGCCAAGUGUAAAUUUCCCAUUAAUGGGCUUUAAGUAUAUUAAUGGGAGAAUUUUUGUGCUCCUUGGAUGGAAAAAAAAUACAACAUUUUGUGCCUCUGGUAUCUGAGAGGAAGCCCUGAGACAGAUGGGUUCCCAUAAGUUGUGCAUCGUGAAUGCAAGGAAACUUCAUUCUUCUUACACUACCAGGCAGUCGAUCCAAAAUGGGGAAAAACUCUUUACAUGAAAGCAUGCAAUUACAUGCCAUACCCUGCAAUUCUAAUUACUGAUGACUUAAAUUGAAGCACAGCCUUUUACAUAGGAGUUUUAUGAUCAAGAAUUAAGAAAUUUAAAAAUAUUAUGGGGCCGGUUGAUGGCGCAGCAGUUAAGUUUGCACAUUCCACUUUGAUGGCCCCAGGGUUCACCAGUUCAGAUCC